This 496-nucleotide ribosomal RNA is filed under the name uncultured bacterium. Its description in RNAcentral is "partial 16S ribosomal RNA". It matches the Rfam family "Bacterial small subunit ribosomal RNA", at positions 28 to 507 of the family's 1533-position model. The record is from RNAcentral.
GAUGAACGCUGGCGGCGUGCCUAAUACAUGCAAGUCGAGCGAACAGACGAGGAGCUUGCUCCUCUGACGUUAGCGGCGGACGGGUGAGUAACACGUGGAUAACCUACCUAUAAGACUGGGAAACUUCGGGAAACCGGAGCUAAUACCGGAUAACAUGUUGAACCGCAUGGUUCAACAGUGAAAGACGGUCUUGCUGUCACUUAUAGAUGGAUCCGCGCCGCAUUAGCUAGUUGGUAAGGUAACGGCUUACCAAGGCAACGAUGCGUAGCCGACCUGAGAGGGUGAUCGGCCACACUGGAACUGAGACACGGUCCAGACUCCUACGGGAGGCAGCAGUAGGGAAUCUUCCGCAAUGGGCGAAAGCCUGACGGAGCAACGCCGCGUGAGUGAUGAAGGUCUUCGGAUCGUAAAACUCUGUUAUUAGGGAAGAACAAAUGUGUAAGUAACUAUGCACGUCUUGACGGUACCUAAUCAGAAAGCCACGGCUAACUACGUG